GACCUCCUAUUGAUUGGGUACUCUCGUUCUCCUUUCCAUUGCACACCGAACGAGAAACUCCCCGUCUAUUUAGAGUCCCCGACAUUACCUGCGACACCUCUUUCAACAGCCCACCCCCCUUCCAUUUCAGGCUUAAUAGCCCUCCAAAUCUUAUCCAUGAAAGAAGAUCAGCUGAAGAGUUAACCAUGUCAAGAAACUUUUCGAGCAGGGAGCAGUUUAGCCUUGCCAAGAUCCGAGAAGGCUUUGGGGGAGACAGACAUGUCUGCUGCUUUCCAACAUGGCCGGUCGUUCAUUGGGCUUCGGUCACUUAAGGUGUUGAUCAUGAAAAGAAGAGAACACCAGGGAGAGUUAAAAAAUAUAGGCUGGAAUUAUUGAUCGUCAUAACGAGCAGUGUUAACUUUCUUUUUAUGCUGAACAACUUUUAAAACUAUUUGCAAUAAAUUCUUAUAUGAAA
Long non-coding RNA from Stegodyphus dumicola, 454 nucleotides. The record is from RefSeq and is a predicted model, not a curated record. Lineage: Eukaryota; Metazoa; Arthropoda; Arachnida; Araneae; Eresidae.